GAUGAAUGCUGGCGGCGUGCCUAACACAUGCAAGUCGAGCGGCAGCGCGAGUAGUUUACUACUUGGCGGCGAGCGGCGGACGGCUGAGUAACGCGUGGGAACGUGCCCCGAAGUGAGGGAUAACGCACCGAAAGGUGUGCUAAUACCGCAUAUGAUCUUCGGAUUAAAGAAUUUAUUCGCUUUGGGAGCGGCCCGCGUCGGAUUAGGUAGUUGGUAGGGUAAUGGCCUACCAAGCCGACGAUCCGUAGCUGGUCUGAGAGGAUGACCAGCCAGACUGGAACUGAGACACGGUCCAGACUCCUACGGGAGGCAGCAGUGAAGAAUCUUCCACAAUGGGCGAAAGCCUGAUGGAGCAACGCCGCGUGCAGGAUGAAGGCCUUCGGGUUGUAAACUGCUUUUAUAAGUGAAGAAUAUGACGGUAACUUAUGAAUAAGCACCGGCUAACUACGUGCCAGCAGCCGCCGUAA
Molecule: ribosomal RNA, 467 nt
Filed under: uncultured bacterium
Lineage: Bacteria
Description: partial 16S ribosomal RNA
Rfam family: Bacterial small subunit ribosomal RNA
Source: RNAcentral